This 541-nucleotide ribosomal RNA is filed under the name uncultured bacterium. RNAcentral describes it as "bacterial SSU rRNA". It matches the Rfam family "Bacterial small subunit ribosomal RNA", at positions 135 to 671 of the family's 1533-position model. The record is from RNAcentral.
AGUGGGGGAUAACGUAGCGAAAGUUACGCUAAUACCGCAUAUUCUGUGAGCAGGAAAGCAGGGGAUCGCAAGACCUUGCGCUUUCGGAGCGGCCGAUGUCGGAUUAGCUAGUUGGUGAGGUAAAAGCUCACCAAGGCGACGAUCCGUAGCUGGUCUUAGAGGAUGAUCAGCCACACUGGGACUGAGACACGGCCCAGACUCCUACGGGAGGCAGCAGUGGGGAAUUUUGGACAAUGGGGGCAACCCUGAUCCAGCCAUGCCGCGUGAGUGAAGAAGGCCUUCGGGUUGUAAAGCUCUUUCGGACAGAAAGAAAUCGCAUCGGCUAAUACUCGAUGUGGAUGACGGUACUGUCAUAAGAAGCACCGGCUAACUACGUGCCAGCAGCCGCGGUAAUACGUAGGGUGCGAGCGUUAAUCGGAAUUACUGGGCGUAAAGCGUGCGCAGGCGGUUUUGAAAGACAGGCGUGAAAUCCCCGGGCUCAACCUGGGAACUGCGCUUGUGACUUCAAGACUCGAGUACGGCAGAGGGGGGUAGAAUUCCA